RNAcentral lists this ribosomal RNA (202 nucleotides) under uncultured bacterium. RNAcentral describes it as "partial 16S ribosomal RNA". It matches the Rfam family "Bacterial small subunit ribosomal RNA", at positions 1299 to 1500 of the family's 1533-position model. The record is from RNAcentral.
UGAAGGCUGAAAUUCGCCUUCAUGAAGCUGGAAUUGCUAGUAAUGGCAGGUCAGCAUACUGCCGUGAAUACGUUCCCGGGCCUUGUACACACCGCCCGUCACACCAUGAGAGUUGGAAAUACCCGAAGCCUGUGAGCUAACAGUAAUGAGGCAGCAGUCGAAGGUAGAGCCAAUGAUUGGGGUGAAGUCGUAACAAGGUAUC